AAGGAGAGCUUUGGGAACAGGACAGACAGCCAAACAGCUGAGGGUAAAGUAGGAUCAAGUGUCAGAGUGGCGGUCGUUUGAGUCCUAUAUCCGCAGGGAGAGAAAUCUACCAGGACUUAGACAAUUUCAUUCACAUACAUACACAUCAUCUCUGCUCAGACAGGAGCUCUCGGGAGGAACAGCCACGGGAGGAACAGCAAUCGGAUCCUAUGAGGGCACCACCAAAUGCCAUGCGGCUCACACAUGGUCAUUUUAACUGCCACGGGCCACAGGCAGACCACAGCCCCAGACCCCAGAACCUUCACAGUGUUGGCAAACUAACCUGGAAACAUCACUGAGCUAAAAACCAUCUCUCCUGCUUCUAAUCUCAAGGU
RNAcentral lists this long non-coding RNA (374 nucleotides) under Bos taurus (domestic cattle). RNAcentral's name for it is "long non-coding RNA NONBTAT013487". The record is from RNAcentral. Lineage: Eukaryota; Metazoa; Chordata; Mammalia; Artiodactyla; Bovidae.